GUUGAGGUCUAUCCUGAUGGGGCUUUCUUAUAGCCUGUAUAUUGUUGGAAACGCCUAAUAGAGUAACUCUGUGGUUUUGCUUUACUCACAGGACUAUUUGUUAGAACUGUGAGAAGGAACUAUAAGAAAGAG
This 132-nucleotide small nucleolar RNA is filed under the name Carlito syrichta (Philippine tarsier). The record is from RNAcentral. Lineage: Eukaryota; Metazoa; Chordata; Mammalia; Primates; Tarsiidae.